UCAGAUCUCAGCUUCUUGAGUAGCUAGAAUUAUCAGAUUUACUGAAAGUGGCCAUUCUUAGCAGGAUAUAAAAUAAAUCCUCAAAAAUCAAUGUCUUUUAUAUACACCAACAACCAGAAGAGCGAGGCUGAAAUCAGACAAGGAACAUCUUUUGCAAUAGUCUCAAA
Molecule: long non-coding RNA, 167 nt
Organism: Perognathus longimembris pacificus (Pacific pocket mouse)
Lineage: Eukaryota; Metazoa; Chordata; Mammalia; Rodentia; Heteromyidae
Exons: 4
Source: RefSeq, a predicted model, not a curated record